AUGGGAUGGAGCUGGAUCUUUCUUUUCCUCCUGUCAGGAACUGCAGGUGUCCAUUGCCAGAUCCAGCUGCAGCAGUCUGGACCUGAGCUGGUGAAGCCUGGGGCUUCAGUGAAGAUAUCCUGCAAGGCUUCUGGCUACACCUUCACUGACUACUAUAUAAACUGGGUGAAGCAGAGGCCUGGACAGGGACUUGAGUGGAUUGGAUGGAUUUAUCCUGGAAGCGGUAAUACUAAGUACAAUGAGAAGUUCAAGGGCAAGGCCACAUUGACUGUAGACACAUCCUCCAGCACAGCCUACAUGCAGCUCAGCAGCCUGACCUCUGAGGACUCUGCGGUCUAUUUCUGUGCAAGA
This is a non-coding RNA of Mus musculus (house mouse), 351 nucleotides long. The record is from the annotation of a RefSeq genome assembly. NCBI's taxonomy places the organism in Eukaryota, Metazoa, Chordata, Mammalia, Rodentia, Muridae.